UACGUAGGGGGCGAGCGUUGUCCGGAUUUACUGGGCGUAAAGAGCGCGUAGGCGGGGAGAGAAGUCCGGUGGGAAAGCCCACGGCUCAACCGUGGAAGAACGCUGGAAACUCUCUUUCUUGAGGGCGGCAGAGGGAAGUGGAAUUGCUGGUGUAGCGGUGAAAUGCGUAGAUAUCAGCAGGAACACCCGUGGCGAAGGCGGCUUCCUGGGCCGCACCUGACGCUGAGGCGCGAAAGCGUGGGGAGCGAACGG
RNAcentral lists this ribosomal RNA (252 nucleotides) under uncultured bacterium. RNAcentral's name for it is "partial 16S ribosomal RNA". It matches the Rfam family "Bacterial small subunit ribosomal RNA", at positions 524 to 775 of the family's 1533-position model. The record is from RNAcentral.